UCCCUGGUGGCUCAGAGGUUAAAGCGUCUGCCUGCAAUGCAGGAGACCUGGGUUAGGUCCCUGGGUCGGGAA
RNAcentral lists this transfer RNA (72 nucleotides) under Ovis aries (sheep). It matches the Rfam family "tRNA". From Rfam's summary of the family: Transfer RNA (tRNA) molecules are approximately 80 nucleotides in length. Their secondary structure includes four short double-helical elements and three loops (D, anti-codon, and T loops). Further hydrogen bonds mediate the characteristic L-shaped molecular structure. tRNAs have two regions of fundamental functional importance: the anti-codon, which is responsible for specific mRNA codon recognition, and the 3' end, to which the tRNAs corresponding amino acid is attached (by aminoacyl-tRNA synthetases). tRNAs cope with the degeneracy of the genetic code in two manners: having more than one tRNA (with a specific anti-codon) for a particular amino acid; and 'wobble' base-pairing, i.e. permitting non-standard base-pairing at the 3rd anti-codon position. Lineage: Eukaryota; Metazoa; Chordata; Mammalia; Artiodactyla; Bovidae. The record is from Rfam by way of RNAcentral.